PVC group bacterium is the source of this 75-nucleotide non-coding RNA. The record is from Rfam. Lineage: Bacteria; Pseudomonadati.
UGGGAUGUAGCUUAAUUUAGGUAAAGCGUUAGUUUUUGGAGCUAAUCCUCGUAGGUUCGAAACCUUCCAUCCUAU